This 492-nucleotide ribosomal RNA is filed under the name uncultured bacterium. RNAcentral's name for it is "partial 16S ribosomal RNA". It matches the Rfam family "Bacterial small subunit ribosomal RNA", at positions 29 to 507 of the family's 1533-position model. The record is from RNAcentral.
AGUGAACGCUAGCGGUAGGCCUAACACAUGCAAGUCGAACGGCAGCACAGUAAGAGCUUGCUCUUACGGGUGGCGAGUGGCGGACGGGUGAGGAAUACAUCGGAAUCUACUUUUUCGUGGGGGAUAACGUAGGGAAACUUACGCUACUACCGCAUACGAACUACGGGUGAAAGCAGGGGAUCUUCGGACCUUGCGCGAUUGAAUGAGCCGAUGUCGGGUUAGCUAGUUGGCGGGGGAAAGGCCCACCAAGGCGACGAUCCGUAGCUGGUCUGAGAGGAUGGACAGCCAAACUGGAACUGGGGGACGGUCCAGACUCCUACGGGAGGCAGCAGUGGGGAAUAUUGGACAAUGGGGGCAAGCCUGAUCCAGCCAUACCGCGUGGGUGAAGAAGGCCUUCGGGUUGGAAAGCCCUUUUGUUGGGAAAGAAAAGCAGCAGGUUAAUACCCCGCUGUUCUGACGGUACCCAAAGAAUAAGCACCGGCUAACUUCGUG